UACGUAGGGUGCAAGCGUUGUCCGGAAUCACUGGGCGUAAAGGGCGCGUAGGCGGCCUGGCAAGUCGGUGGUGAAAGCCCGUGGCUCAACUACGGGUCGGCCACCGAUACUGCUAUGGCUCGAGUUUGGUAGAGGCAGAUGGAAUUCCGGGUGUAGCGGUGGAAUGCGUAGAGAUCCGGAAGAACACCGGUGGCGAAGGCGGUCUGCUGGGCCAAGACUGACGCUGAGGCGCGACAGCGUGGGGAGCAAACAGG
This 254-nucleotide ribosomal RNA is filed under the name uncultured bacterium. RNAcentral's name for it is "partial 16S ribosomal RNA". It matches the Rfam family "Bacterial small subunit ribosomal RNA", at positions 524 to 776 of the family's 1533-position model. The record is from RNAcentral.